AACGAACGCUGGCGGCAGGCUUAACACAUGCAAGUCGAACGCAUCCUUCGGGGUGAGUGGCAGACGGGUGAGUAACGCGUGGGAACAUGCCCUUCAGUUCGGAAUAACCCAGGGAAACUUGGGCUAAUACCGGAUACGUGCGAGAGCAGAAAGAUUUAUCGCUGAAAGGAGUGGCCCGCGUCUGAUUAGCUAGUUGGUGAGGUAAAGGCUCACCAAGGCGACGAUCAGAGCUGGUCUGAGAGGAUGAUCAGCCACACUGGGACUGAGACACGGCCCAGACUCCUACGGGAGGCAGCAGUCGAGAAUCUUCACAAUGGGGGAAACCCUGAUGGAGCGACGCCGCGUGGAGGAUAAGGUCUUCGGAUUGUAAACUCCUGUCAUGCGAGAACAAAGCCCGCAAGGGCCUGAUAGUAUCGCAAGAGGAAGAGACGGCUAACUCUGUGCCAGCAAGCCGCU
Molecule: ribosomal RNA, 456 nt
Filed under: uncultured bacterium
Lineage: Bacteria
Description: bacterial SSU rRNA
Rfam family: Bacterial small subunit ribosomal RNA
Source: RNAcentral